AUUGAACGCUGGCGGCAUGCCUUACACAUGCAAGUCGAACGGCAGCACGGGAGCAAUCCUGGUGGCGAGUGGCGAACGGGUGAGUAAAGUAUCGGAACGUGCCUAGUCGUGGGGGAUAACGUAGCGAAAGUUACGCUAAUACCGCAUACGAUCUACGGAUGAAAGCGGGGGAUCGCAAGACCUCGCGCGAUUGGAGCGGCCGAUAUCAGAUUAGGUAGUUGGUGGGGUAAAGGCUCACCAAGCCGACGAUCUGUAGCUGGUCUGAGAGGACGACCAGCCACACUGGGACUGAGACACGGCCCAGACUCCUACGGGAGGCAGCAGUGGGGAAUUUUGGACAAUGGGCGAAAGCCUGAUCCAGCCAUGCCGCGUGCAGGAUGAAGGCCUUCGGGUUGUAAACUGCUUUUGCACGGAACGAAAAGGUUUGGGCUAAUAAGCUGAGCUCAUGACGGUACCGUAAGAAUAAGCACCGGCUAACUACGUGCCAGCAGCCGCAGUAA
Molecule: ribosomal RNA, 500 nt
Filed under: uncultured bacterium
Lineage: Bacteria
Description: partial 16S ribosomal RNA
Rfam family: Bacterial small subunit ribosomal RNA
Source: RNAcentral